GCGGCUGUGGCGGAAUUGGCAGACGCGCUGUCUUCAGGCGGCAGUACUCUAGGGUGUGUGGGUUCGAAUCCCACCAGCCGCACCA
RNAcentral lists this transfer RNA (85 nucleotides) under Acholeplasmataceae bacterium. RNAcentral describes it as "tRNA-Leu". It matches the Rfam family "tRNA". Rfam says of the family: Transfer RNA (tRNA) molecules are approximately 80 nucleotides in length. Their secondary structure includes four short double-helical elements and three loops (D, anti-codon, and T loops). Further hydrogen bonds mediate the characteristic L-shaped molecular structure. tRNAs have two regions of fundamental functional importance: the anti-codon, which is responsible for specific mRNA codon recognition, and the 3' end, to which the tRNAs corresponding amino acid is attached (by aminoacyl-tRNA synthetases). tRNAs cope with the degeneracy of the genetic code in two manners: having more than one tRNA (with a specific anti-codon) for a particular amino acid; and 'wobble' base-pairing, i.e. permitting non-standard base-pairing at the 3rd anti-codon position. The record is from RNAcentral. Lineage: Bacteria; Bacillati; Mycoplasmatota; Mollicutes; Acholeplasmatales; Acholeplasmataceae.